UGAAAAACAAAUAAUAAAGAAUUAGAUUUACAACUUUAAACCAAGCACUGAUGGAAGAAGGCAAUACAUUUACAAUUACCACCUUCCAUCUUUCACUUUUUCAUAAUAAAUUAUUAGUAUUAAAGUGAAGAUUAAAUUGAACAUGUAUGAAGUUCUUUUUAAAAUAGAGGAUGGUAAUAGAUUAAUUGUAUUAAGAUUUAUCAAAUGUAUUUUAAAGUAAUAGUGAAUCAUCUAUGAGAUCAAUUUUAUCCAUGUAUAGUUAGUGUUUUAUUUUUACUAAAUAAAGUGCAGAAACUUAAACCACAAUGUUUAUGUUGAGUUGAUGAAAAUUGGUCCAUAAUUGCUCAAGUUGGCAAUGAUGAUAAAUGUGAUAGUUUUUGUAAAUUGUAUACUCUUUAUAAAUUAAUUAUAUAUAUAAUUUUAAAGAUUUUCAUGAAGGUAUUUGAAAUAUUUCUCCAAGACUUUUGUUAUAUAAUUUUUUGGAAGAGUUUGUUUUUUUAUAAAGAACAGAAGAAAUGUGUUCACAUAAAAAAAAAAUAAAUAAAUAAAAAAUGAUACUUCUUCCAAUUAAAAAUGUUUUGAAUCUCAUAUAUAUUUUAAAUAGGUUGCGACAAAAAGAGAAUAUUUCAUUUUUCUUAAUUUUUUUCAGUUGUUUAGUAAAAUGUGAUUUCUCAGAUUAUAUUCUUAAGUAGAACAAAAAAAAUGAAAAAAAUAUUUAAUAAUAAAAAAACACACUUUAUUAAAUAAUUAAAAAAAUAAAAAAAAAUCAACUCCCGCGAAAGAGGGAUUAAUAUGCAUGAUGUGCAACCUCAAAAAAGCAGUGAUAAUAAGUUAAUAACUUUAAAAAUCAUCAAUUAUAUUUUUAGGAAGAAUUACUAAGAGGUAAUUUUUCUUUGUAGUAGUUAGUAGUUGUCAAUAUAAUAUUAAAUUUAAUAGGACUAUAAAUAGUAAUAAGACUUUGAACAGUUCAUACAUAACAUUAAAGUAUAAAUUAGUUUAAAACAUUUUUUAUUUUAAUCAACUUAUCAUUGUAUACUUAAUUAAAAAUUCAGUUAGUAACAUAUUUGCAGUUAUACCAUCAAAGUUAGUAAGAUAUUUGAGGUUUAAUAACACAUGAUGAUUUUAUACAAUCAAAAUGCAGUCAGUGAACAUUGUUAUAAACAAUAUUUGGGGUUGAAUUAGAAUACUUUGUUUGUUGUUUGGGUUAAAACAAAAAGUACAGCCAAAACUACUAGUUAGUUGAAUGAGUGAUAGUCCGCGGAAAACAACAUCAAUAAUGAAUCCCGACUAAAACCCCAAAGUGGUCCCUGAGAUUGGGCGAGUUACCCAUACUUGUCCUUGACUUUCAAAAUUCCCUAAUAGCAUCCCUGACAUUCAGCUCCGGGACCCAUAGUUGCCCUGCAACCCUUUCCGGCGCCAAGUCAGCAAACGGAGGGAUGAUCUGGCACCUCCAAUGCCACGCUGGAGCCAACAACGGCUAGCUGAUGUGGCAAAUCUGAAUUUUGUACCCAAUCUGGUCCCUGGUCCCAUUAAAACCCUAAAAGCUAAGAUCAUCCUCUUCAUCGCCUGAGCUUCAAACUGCUGCUGCUGAUUCCUUCUCAGAUCAUCCUCUUCAUCACCUCCAGCUCCAGGUAAUAACACAUACAGAUCAUAUGCCUUCCAUUUCGAUCUGCCAUUUCUCUAUUUCCUGAUUGCUAGCUGCUGCUACCAUAAUAUGAAUGUAACUUGGCUAAAUUUCAGUUUCUUCUAAAAUUGUAAUCACUCAAUACUCAAAACUAUAAGCUGCCGCUGCUUUUGUCAGUUUGCAAUUGUUUGAUGUAGCAUUGCAUUGUGUUACUUACUGUAGACAUGUGCUGCAAAUGCAAAUGAAAAAGGUGACAAGGCUUCCUUGAUUCCUCAAUCCAGACGGCCUGCACUCCCCUCUCUGCAAAUACCCCUAUGGUCAUUAGAUGCCGCAUUAUCUUCUUUCGCAAAGACAGAUGGUCCUUCCACAUCCACCUACUUCAAGGACCCUCUCUCUUAAUGGUAAAGGUUCAUUCUCUCCAUUAUCAAAGGUUGCCCACUCAUUACCGGUUACUCCAAUCGCAUCUUUGGGUUAAGAAAGUGUACAUGGCAGACAUCUGGGAUGUGCUUCUGAUUUAAAUACAAUGGUUGUCAAGCAGCAUAUAACUCGAUCACUUUCGGUUCCAGUUGAUGCCUAGCCAGCAAAUUGAGGUGCACUCAGUCUAGGGUCUUGAUUCGUAUCAUUUCAGCCAGGCGGCAUCUUGCAACUGUUGAUGGAACUUCAACUGGUGAUUCUUCAGUCAUGGAGAUUGCUAUUGAGGAUGCUAUAGCAGAUAUUCCAGAGGAAGAAGCAGUUUGUAGGAUUUGUUUGGCAGAGCUCGGGGAAGG
Non-coding RNA from Arachis ipaensis, 2391 nucleotides. NCBI's taxonomy places the organism in Eukaryota, Viridiplantae, Streptophyta, Magnoliopsida, Fabales, Fabaceae. The record is from RefSeq and is a predicted model, not a curated record.